GACGAACGCUGGCGGCGUGCUUAACACAUGCAAGUCGAGCGGAAAGGCCCUGCUUUUGUGGGGUGCUCGAGUGGCGAACGGGUGAGUAACACGUGAGUAACCUGCCCUUGACUUUGGGAUAACUUCAGGAAACUGGGGCUAAUACCGGAUAGGAGCUCCUGCUGCAUGGUGGGGGUUGGAAAGUUUCGGCGGUUGGGGAUGGACUCGCGGCUUAUCAGCUUGUUGGUGGGGUAGUGGCUUACCAAGGCUUUGACGGGUAGCCGGCCUGAGAGGGUGACCGGCCACAUUGGGACUGAGAUACGGCCCAGAAUCCAACGGGAGGCAGCAGUGGGGAAUAUUGCACAAUGGGCGGAAGCCUGAUGCAGCAACGCCGCGUGCGGGAUGACGGCCUUCGGGUUGUAAACCGCUUUCGCCUGUGACGAAGCGUGAGUGACGGUAAUGGGUAAAGAAGCACCGGCUAACUACGUG
RNAcentral lists this ribosomal RNA (468 nucleotides) under uncultured bacterium. RNAcentral's name for it is "partial 16S ribosomal RNA". It matches the Rfam family "Bacterial small subunit ribosomal RNA", at positions 28 to 507 of the family's 1533-position model. The record is from RNAcentral.